This 664-nucleotide ribosomal RNA is filed under the name uncultured fungus. RNAcentral's name for it is "eukaryotic LSU rRNA". It matches the Rfam family "Eukaryotic large subunit ribosomal RNA", at positions 24 to 664 of the family's 3401-position model. Lineage: Eukaryota; Fungi. The record is from RNAcentral.
CCCGCUGAACUUAAGCAUAUCAAUAAGCGGAGGAAAAGAAACUAACAAGGAUUCCCCUAGUAACUGCGAGUGAAGCGGGAAGAGCUCAAAUUUGAAAUCUGGCGGGUACCCCGUCCGAGUUGUAAUCUGGAGAAGCGUUUUCCGCGCUGGACCGUGUACAAGUCCCUUGGAACAGGGCGUCAUAGAGGGUGAGAAUCCCGUCUUUGGCACGGACGCACCAGGGCUUCUGUGAUGCGCUCUCGAAGAGUCGAGUUGUUUGGGAAUGCAGCUCAAAAUGGGUGGUGAACUCCAUCUAAAGCUAAAUAUUGGCGAGAGACCGAUAGCGAACAAGUACCGUGAGGGAAAGAUGAAAAGCACUUUGGAAAGAGAGUGAAACAGUACGUGAAAUUGUUGAAAGGGAAACGCUUGAAGUCAGUCGCGUCGACCGAGACUCAGCCUUGCCUUGGCUUGGUGUACCUCUCGGCUGACGGGUCAGCAUCAAUUUCGCCCCUCGGAUAAUGGUGAGGGAAAUGUGGCACCUUUGCGGGUGUGUUAUAGUCCUUUGUCGCAUGCGAGGGUUGGGAUUGAGGAACUCAGCACGCGCCUUUCGGCGUCGGGGCUCUGCCCACGAUACGUGCUUAGGAUGUUGGCGUAAUGGCUUUAAACGACCCGUCUUGAAACACGG